GGCAUACGAUGAAGUUGGAGAUUGCCGGAAUUCCGGGGAACUUCAACGGAGAAUGUCCGAUUCGUAGAAACCGGGCGACAA
This is a regulatory RNA element of 81 nucleotides. It matches the Rfam family "S10-Clostridia ribosomal protein leader". The record is from Rfam.